RNAcentral lists this ribosomal RNA (253 nucleotides) under uncultured bacterium. RNAcentral's name for it is "partial 16S ribosomal RNA". It matches the Rfam family "Bacterial small subunit ribosomal RNA", at positions 524 to 776 of the family's 1533-position model. The record is from RNAcentral.
UACGUAGGGUGCAAGCGUUAAUCGGAAUUACUGGGCGUAAAGCGUGCGCAGGCGGUUAUGCAAGACAGAUGUGAAAUCCCCGGGCUCAACCUGGGAACUGCAUUUGUGACUGCAUGGCUCGAGUACGGUAGAGGGGGAUGGAAUUCCGCGUGUAGCAGUGAAAUGCGUAGAUAUGCGGAGGAACACCGAUGGCGAAGGCAAUCCCCUGGACCUGUACUGACGCUCAUGCACGAAAGCGUGGGGAGCAAACAGG